UGGGGAUUUUUCCGCAAUGGGCGAAAGCCUGACGGAGCAAUACCGCGUGAGGGAGGAAGGCUCUUGGGUCGUAAACCUCUUUUCUCAGGGAAGAACACAAUGACGGUACCUGAGGAAUAAGCAUCGGCUAACUCCGUGCCAGCAGCCGCGGUAAUACGGAGGAUGCAAGCGUUAUCCGGAAUGAUUGGGCGUAAAGCGUCCGCAGGUGGCGAUGUAAGUCUGCUGUUAAAGAGUGAGGCUCAACCUCAUAAGAGCAGUGGAAACUACAUAGCUAGAGUACGUUCGGGGCAGAGGGAAUUCCUGGUGUAGCGGUGAAAUGCGUAGAGAUCAGGAAGAACACCAGUGGCGAAGGCGCUCUGCUAGGCCGUAACUGACACUGAGGGACGAAAGCUAGGGGAGCGAAUGGGAUUAGAUACCCCAGUAGUC
Molecule: ribosomal RNA, 426 nt
Filed under: uncultured Nostoc sp.
Lineage: Bacteria; Bacillati; Cyanobacteriota; Cyanophyceae; Nostocales; Nostocaceae
Description: bacterial SSU rRNA
Rfam family: Bacterial small subunit ribosomal RNA
Source: RNAcentral